UACGGGGGGGGCAAGCGUUGUUCGGAAUUACUGGGCGUAAAGGGCUCGUAGGCGGCCAACUAAGUCAUACGUGAAAUCCCUCGGCUUAACCGGGGAACUGCGUCUGAUACUGGAUGGCUUGAGUUCGGGAGAGGGAUGCGGAAUUCCAGGUGUAGCGGUGAAAUGCGUAGAUAUCUGGAGGAAUACCGGUGGCGAAGGCGGCAUCCUGGACCGACAUUGACGCUGAUGAGCGAAAGCUAGGGGAGCAAACGGG
This 253-nucleotide ribosomal RNA is filed under the name uncultured bacterium. Its description in RNAcentral is "partial 16S ribosomal RNA". It matches the Rfam family "Bacterial small subunit ribosomal RNA", at positions 524 to 776 of the family's 1533-position model. The record is from RNAcentral.